UACGAAGGGGGCUAGCGUUGUUCGGAAUUACUGGGCGUAAAGCGCACGUAGGCGGCUUGUUAAGUUAGGGGUGAAAUCCCAGGGCUCAACCCUGGAACUGCCUUUAAUACUGGCAAUCUCGAGUCCGAGAGAGGUGAGUGGAAUUCCGAGUGUAGAGGUGAAAUUCGUAGAUAUUCGGAGGAACACCAGUGGCGAAGGCGGCUCACUGGCUCGGUACUGACGCUGAGGUGCGAAAGCGUGGGGAGCAAACAGG
RNAcentral lists this ribosomal RNA (253 nucleotides) under uncultured bacterium. RNAcentral's name for it is "partial 16S ribosomal RNA". It matches the Rfam family "Bacterial small subunit ribosomal RNA", at positions 524 to 776 of the family's 1533-position model. The record is from RNAcentral.